CAGCCGCGGUAAUACGGAGGGUGCAAGCGUUAAUCGGAAUUACUGGGCGUAAAGCGCACGCAGGCGGUCUGACAAGUCAGAUGUGAAAUCCCCGGGCUUAACCUGGGAACUGCAUUUGAAACUGUCAGGCUGGAGUCUUGUAGAGGGGGGUGGAAUUCCAGGUGUAGCGGUGAAAUGCGUAGAGAUCUGGAGGAAUACCGGUGGCGAAGGCGGCCCCCUGGACAAAGACUGACGCUCAGGUGCGAAAGCGUGGGGAGCAAACAGGAUUAGAUACCCCCGCAGUCCCUGUCUCUUAUACACA
Molecule: ribosomal RNA, 301 nt
Filed under: uncultured bacterium
Lineage: Bacteria
Description: partial 16S ribosomal RNA
Rfam family: Bacterial small subunit ribosomal RNA
Source: RNAcentral